RNAcentral lists this small RNA (79 nucleotides) under Flavobacterium urumqiense. RNAcentral describes it as "Flavo-1 RNA". It matches the Rfam family "Flavo-1 RNA". The record is from RNAcentral. Lineage: Bacteria; Pseudomonadati; Bacteroidota; Flavobacteriia; Flavobacteriales; Flavobacteriaceae.
CAGUAGCCCUGAUGGAAGCGGCAUCCUCGCAGUCCCGAAGCAUCGGGACUGCGAGAUACAGCGGACAGCAGGAAAUUUC